UACCUAUGUGCUAUAUACACAUACCAUACAAAAGUAGAAAAAAGAAUAAUAUCAGAACAGAUUGGAUCAAUAAUGGCGCCUGUAAUUAUCUGCUCUUUAAAAUUAUCAUGACAUCCAGCAAACAAGUAAUUUUAAAACCAAUGUUAUGCUUUACAUGGGUUUUGAGGGUUUUUAGGGCUUUCUAAUCCUUAGAAAGGGGCUCGCGGUUUACCGGUUCCAUUGAGAGAGAGGGGCAGCCAGGAGUCAAAUAAUUGUCUCCACCCACCUCUAAACGUUUAACCCCGCCCACAAUUAGCCCCGCCCCGAUCUCCGGGAUGCAGCCAGGGGUUACUCCCCUGCCCCGUGCUACAACUACGCUUAGCUGUAUCCAACAUUGCCGAGACACGAUCUAGAAGCUGUCCUGUUCUCAGAUAACUCUGUGGACUUGCUGUUAGCUAAACACGGCUAAAAAAACCUGCUACCACUUCAGGAUCAUCCAUCAGCUGGGACUGAUUCAUCGUGUGUUCUUCACCACCUGGACCUGGACAGCAUGGACACAGG
Non-coding RNA from Nothobranchius furzeri (turquoise killifish), 540 nucleotides. The record is from RefSeq and is a predicted model, not a curated record. NCBI's taxonomy places the organism in Eukaryota, Metazoa, Chordata, Actinopteri, Cyprinodontiformes, Nothobranchiidae.